GUAGCGUGUGACGAAGAAGAAAGUUUAUCGCGUUCAUAAACUCAUUUGAAUAAAGUGAUAGAAUGGCAUAAGGGUCUUUAUUUAACUAUGCUAAAAUAAUUAUUAAAGACACUAGAUGCAAAAUCGUCAAUUAUUGAGUUAAAUGGAUUAUUAGAUGGAUUUUAAAGGAUAAUUAAAGCUUCGACUUUGCGACCAGGAUGCAAGAAAGUCAGAUUCGAAGUCGGUCCAGAUAAACAUUCAUUUCUUCACGAUUGGAUGAAACGUGUUGCCUCUAAAGUGGUAAAAAGAUUACAGUUGACGUCUCGCACCGCACAACAUGCACAUGUCCGCACGACGACCGACUACGGACUUGGGGUGAUCCAAAUUUCACAUCGUGUGCACCUUGUGCUCAGGUGAACUAAUAAGGCUCGAAAUCUAGGAACAUAAGACCAUCGGGUGUUUCAUAGUCACGUAGCUGAACUGUGCUGUCGGCAGGGAUAACACCAAGAGUGCGGAACACCUUGAACGACACUACAACGACAAGUAGGGUAAAGGCGACACCACUGCAAACGGAAAUGGCAACGAUAGCACCGAUGGAAAGAUUCCCAUCACUUGACACCGUAUCGGCCCGUGUUGUAUGUGAAAUGGAAACGAUAGCACCUGUGGAAAGAGUCCCAUCACUUGACACCGUAUCGGCCCGUGUUGUAUCGGCUGGAAUAAAAACGAGUACCACGUGCAGUUUACGUAUUGUAUCCGAAAGCUAGUGAAAUAUUUAUGUUCGGUUUUUCAUAACCUAAACAUAUAUUUGUUAUGUGUUUACAUUUUCAUAGCAAAUAAGAAUAUAAAAAAUUGGUAUUUAAUAGAUUUUGCCAGCACAAUAUAAAAAAUCUAAAUAACACAAAAUGAUACAAGUUAUUUCUCUACCACGAGCGUUUGCUCUAAAAAGUUUGAGACUAUCGAGAAUGCAAAUAUUUUUACACAGAAAUAGUAUAUAACAAACACUUAAUGCCGUAUUAAGUUCAUUUGAUGUUAUGGAUUGUUUAAAGGUCCCCGCCACGAAUAAAUAAAAAUUGUAUACAUAAUCUGAACGAUGAAGCUCCACAAAUAUUAUCAGUAGAGACAGUAUUGUUAAUAUCUAUUACUAAUAACCGAUACAGAGUUCAUAACAAUGCAAACAACAUUUCAAAUGGAUGCUAAAUGUGUGGUUAACUCAUUGGAACGAUCAAUCAAUUCCAAUCCGACUAGAUUUGAAGGCAAAUUUGAAUUUCUAUCAGAUUCCAUAUCAAAUACCUGUUGCUGGUUGUUGUGUAAGGGUAGAUAAAGAAGUUGUUGUAAAUUCUGUGGCUAUUACUUCUUCGCAAGUCAAGUUCAUGUCGAGAUAGGCUUGAUGAGGAUAACUUGUAGCUGAAGAAAGCAGUUAUAUUAUUGGGUAGUUAUUUUCUAGUAUUAAGAUAAUAUCUUUUGUUUGUAAGCGAAUUCCACGUUACUUGAUAUAUAUAUAUAUAGAGUUAACAUUACUUGUAUGACAUUCGUCAUCAAGUUCACUCCAGGUAACAAUUUCAAUGUGUUAAUGACAUAAUCCGUACUGCUCACCUCUUGCUUUGAACCAUACCAUGGCUGGUGUGUCACGAGGACCUGUCUUAUAAAGGUCCUUCAGAAGCACAUACGUCGUCUCUCCGGGUAACAAUGUAAUUAAUUGGUAGUAGUUAUUUAUUUGACGAUAUAAAAAGUUAUCUUUCCAAUGCUCAGUCGAUUCCUUACAACGAUGAAAGAAGUACCCGUUCGUCAAUAUGGCGCUGGAACACAUUGCUGAAGAUGCGUUGACGUCAUGGUAAUAGCCCUCCAGACGUACGUCUAUCCAGUACAGAACAAGUUCGGUCAAAUUAUGUGCGUGAAGAUUGGUUAACGAACACUUGCACUCCUUGCUAGUACUAUUGGGAUGGAAGGGUUCGGUCGAUCCAUCGAACCAGAUAUCGACGUCGUUGGUGACUUUAGUGGUUUUCUUCGAGGGUCCUCCGCACAUUGGUAUCUUAUCUGUCACUGUGAAUCAGUAACGUCUUUAUUAUCAGCGUGUUUUCAUUAAUCGAAAACUAUUUAUUAAUUAGCCAGCAAUUCGCAUUUUUAAAAUACUUUAGAGACGAGGUUUCUGAUUUAUAAUACAUGUUUGUUCAGAUUAAUAAUUGGCUUACUUUUAGUUAUUGUUAUUAUUGUUAUUACUAUAAUAAUCAGACUAUUAUCAUUAUAAGUAGUAGAGCCUUCUUUGGGGGAUACGUUUUGCAUUAAGUAUAAGCGUAUGAUAAUUAUGAGUCCUAAUAUUAAAACAAUAAAAAUCAACAACACAGAGAGGUUUAUAAAAUUAUUGUUACCACUGUCACAUAUGUAUUCCAUAUGCAUGUAGGAUGUCAUGGUCCCUGUAG
Molecule: long non-coding RNA, 2396 nt
Organism: Dreissena polymorpha
Lineage: Eukaryota; Metazoa; Mollusca; Bivalvia; Myida; Dreissenidae
Exons: 4
Source: RefSeq, a predicted model, not a curated record